AAGAGGCAGCUUUUGUCUCGUCUGUCUCCAGACUUUGUACUUUCUCUAGAGUGCUCUUGGCAACCUUUCUUACCUCUUUUGGUAAUACCAUUAAUAGGGCAACAAUUUUCUUCCACACUGUUGUAUCUCCAUUAGAUUUCCAGGCUCUGCUCUGUUGGAAUUAGGAAAUCACCAGCACCCAAAGGAAUCCUAAAGUUCUUACUCCAUCAUAAUGCAGUAAUUUUACUGGUUUACUCUUGUUAGGGGGAUACACUACUUCCCCACUCCUUUAAGUGUUCAUGCAGAAGGAUUUCCAUGACUGCUGACCUCCCCUCUAGGAAGGAGAAGUGAUUUAUUUUGUAGAUAAAUCUGAGAAAUGGUCCUGAGAGUGGGUGAUUCUGCCUUUUCUAGGAUCCCUCUCCAGAUCUACAGGCUGGCAAAAGGGAUAGUGUCUAAUACUGUCUCCUGCUAUGCAGCAAGGGUCCCGUCCCUGAGACGUAAGUCCCUUGUGUCAGUGACCAGAUGCAUCUAAAUAAGAGGAAGAAAGGUAUAAUUAAUGGACCCAUCUCUGGAUAGCCCCCCUAUGCCAGAUGGAACAUGCCAGCAAGCACACAGUGCCAGAUGUGAAAAAAGAAGCAUAUAGCCUAGUGGCUGCUAGCGGACAACUUGCAACCAGCCUGUGGUCAAAACAGACACAUGGAAGAGAGCAGAGCCAAAGGUAUUAUAGACAAAUGGAGUCGGAGCCCUGAUCAAAUGGAUCCUGAAAGCAUAAUGCCUUGGGAGUUGUCAGUUAUGUGAACCAAAGCAUUUCCCUUUAUUGUUUAA
RNAcentral lists this long non-coding RNA (804 nucleotides) under Felis catus (domestic cat). RNAcentral's name for it is "lncRNA (ENSFCAG00000049750.1)". Lineage: Eukaryota; Metazoa; Chordata; Mammalia; Carnivora; Felidae. The record is from RNAcentral.